AAACUACAAAGAAACAGAAUAUAAGCAGUGAUCUCAGAGCUGUUCAUCACCUUGUUCCAACCUUGGAAGGCUGAAGCUACUGACUGGUGCUGAACAGACAAGAUAUUCUACAAAAGAGAUACUAAUUAUCACCAUGAAGCUGCUGACUGUGUCUGUACUUCUUUGUGCAAUGAUCGCUCUGACCACUGCUGCGAAUGAAGUGGGUAAGGAUGGGUCUGAAUCAAAUCCCCAAGGAGAGCAUCUUGUAGAGAAGAGAUCUACAUGUUUCAGGGAUUUCUGGGGUUGGAC
Long non-coding RNA from Oreochromis aureus, 288 nucleotides. RefSeq lists it as uncharacterized. The record is from RefSeq and is a predicted model, not a curated record. Lineage: Eukaryota; Metazoa; Chordata; Actinopteri; Cichliformes; Cichlidae. The transcript is spliced from 4 exons.